UCGACAACAUCGAUGAGAAAUUUUUUUUCGGUGCGCAGUCACUAGUCGUACGUAUACACGCGUUUUCCUACGGUUUUCCUCUAGUUUUCCACUGUGGUUGUGUUAAGUAAGUGUAGCGAGGGGUGUUGUCGGACUAAUGCGAGGGUUUUUCUAUUUGGAUUUAAUGCGGUAUUACCAGAGGUGACGCAAAUGUUGAAGGUUCCAUGGUAUCGCGUAUAUUGCUUAUGGAAAGGACAAAAAAAUAUGUUAAUAUCCUGAAACGAGGCUGUCACAUAGACUGACUUCGCCCGUUCUUAGGACAAAUCCUUCUACCAAAAAAUGUCCUAAUAUGGGUCAGCAGUCUUGGAUGCUGGUGCGCAUGGCUACAAUAUUUUUUGUGACUAAUCAAACUUUAGCUCUAUCCGAUAUAUUUGAAGAAGGUAAAUCCGACAAAGAAAUUUUGGACAACCUUCUUAAAGCAACACGUUACGACAAGAGGCUUUUACCGCCUGUUAGAGAGUCUUUGACAGUUAACGUAAGUGUUUUACUUCUGAGUUUGGCAUCUCCGGAUGAGUCGAGUUUGAAAUAUGAAGUAGAGUUUUUAUUGCAACAGCAAUGGUACGAUCCAAGAUUGAAAUAUUCUAAUCAAAGCCAAUACGACUAUUUAAAUGCCAUUCACCACCACAGCGAUAUCUGGAUUCCCGAUACCUAUUUCAUUAUGCACGGGGAUUUCAAAGACCCAAUUAUACCGAUGCAUUUCUCGCUGAGGAUAUACAGAAAUGGAAGUGUAAACUAUCUUAUGAGGAGACAUUUAAUUUUAUCCUGUCAAGGAAGUUUAAAUAUUUUUCCCUUCGACGACCCAACGUGUACAUUUUCAAUGGAAAGUAUAUCUUAUGAGAUGACGGCAAUCAAGUACGUUUGGAAAAACGACGAAGACGUUUUACGCAAAUCCCCAAGCUUGAUGACUUUGAAUGCUUACCUCAUAAAUAAUUCAACAUUAGUGUGCCCAAUCAAAUCUAGUUGGAGAGGGAACUAUAGUUGUUUAAUGGUAGAAUUAAUAUUUACGAGAGAUCGAGCUUUUUACUUCACAACAGUAUUUAUACCAGGUAUAAUAUUGGUUACGUCUUCGUUUAUCACGUUCUGGCUAGAAUGGAAUGCUGUACCUGCCAGAGUAAUGAUUGGUGUAACAACAAUGCUCAAUUUUUUCACAACUUCAAACGGUUUUCGUUCAACAUUACCUGUAGUAUCGAAUUUAACAGCAAUGAACGUUUGGGACGGGGUCUGUAUGUGUUUCAUAUACGCUUCCCUUUUAGAAUUCGUAUGUGUUAAUUACGUCGGAAGAAAAAGGCCGUUACAUAAUAUCGUUUAUAGACCAGCAGAAAAUAUUUUAACGCAGCAGAACAACAAAAAAAGAGAUUCAAUGGUUCCUAACGAAAUUAUCACGUGCACCAAUUGCGGACCAAAUCCAUGUACACACACUGCAAAUAACGGAUGUCCAGAGGUGUCUUUUUUACAGGUCAGGAAAAAAGAGCCUCCGCAUCCUAUACGAGUAGCAAAGACCAUAGACGUCAUAGCGAGAAUUACAUUUCCAACAGCCUUCGCAAUUUUUCUUAUAUUUUUCUUUUAUCACUACAAGAGCUUCACCAACAUCACGCAUGAGGAUUAAAUUUUAAUUAAGAUUAAAUGGACAUUUUCCAUUUAUGCUUGUAUGUAAUAAACUACUGGAUUAUCAACGCAAUUCUUACCGAUUACCGAUUCUUACGAUUCUUAACAUCGUAUAAUAAUGAAAUAGGAGAAUUUAAUAAUUAUUCUUUUUACCAAAAAUCCUACAAGUGAUUUGAAAGUUGAAGAAACAUAAUAGAAAAUGUCCAGCCAAUUACUUUAUUAAAAUUAAAUAGUUAUAGUUCAUAUUGAAACUUUGUUAAGCAAUUGUGAUAAGCUAAGGCCCGAUCGCCUAUAUUAUUUAUUGUAUAAAGUGUUACCUGUUGUUUUUGAAACAAGCAAAUGAUAGGAUCAUUGAGGAUAAAUGAAAUAUUUUUUAAUGCGGGGGUCAUCGGAAAAGGUAUUUAUCGUGAUUUGGUUCUGUGAGUGCUCGAGAAAUAAAAUUAUAAAAACGAAAUCAUAAAGAGAUCGAGCAUCAUAUACUGAACACACUAUUCAAUAACACACCAAUAAUCACAAUAAUAUGGUAAGUACAUUGACUGCGUGCGUUUCAUCAAAAAAGGUGAAUAUGUAUGUUAAUUGUAGUAAACAGUAUGACCAACAAAUCUAAAAAGUCAAAGCGAAAUUUUCGUUUCAAAAUAUUGAGAGGAAAUUACACUUACACUUAAAAGUGUAGCUGGUCAAUCAACAUGAAUACAGUACAGCAGACAGCGCAGUUUACCUUUAUAUAUGAUCGGAGAUUGAUUUUAGGUCUCUUCUGAUUUAAAAUUAGGUUUUUUUUUCUCUUAUUUUUAACGAAAAGGUGAAAAUUUCACGUUGAGGUCUUUAUCAAAAUAUGACUUGACACUGACAAUUUUCUUUUACGUGUAGUAGAUUCCGUUGCAAAAAUUUUCGAAUCUUUAUAAUUUUUUUUAUAUUUUCUCAUACAGUUUCAAGAAACUUCUUCAUUUCCGUCGGGCAAUUAAGUGUCUCCUUGAGGUUGGUUUUCAUAUCAAACUGCUGGUAUGCGGUAGAAGUCGGUGUGCUUAACCGACACAGGAACGUUACAACUUUGGCAGAUAGGACGACUUUCUGACCACAAAUAGCCGUGAGGUUGACGCGGAGACUUCUUAUUGUCACAGCUUCUCUCCUAUUCAGAAAGUUUAGUGGAUAGAUGUUAUGUAAUGCAGCAGUACUCUAGCUCAAUAUAUAGCGCCAAGAUUUUUGAAAGGGUUUUUUGGAGUUAGUCUUCAGAUCAUUGGCAAGCUGAACUGGGAUUUCGGGAGGAUUCUUUGUGGUUUCUUUGGCAUGGCAAUCUGUAGAUUCGUUUUCAGCAAUUCCAGUGUGCGAUUGAAGCCAGAUGAGAAAGACUGUUAUCAAGAACAAUGAGAGUUUGGUAGAUGUCGUGAAUGUUUUGGACUAUUGGAUGGUCGGUGAAUAUGGUUGUAUGGAGUGAUAAAUUUGAAAGCUACUGUAUAAUUUACCAGUGUAAACACUACACGUGGAGGUUAAUCGGAAAGAACUUAUGAGUUCGUGGUUUGUAGUGACUACGCAAUAGACACCGGAUUCAGCUUUAGAUGCAUCCGUAUAGAGAAUUACGUCGAAGGAUUUUUAUACAAAAUUUUUGUAAUCGAAUUUAUGUUGUUUUGGUAUUUCGUGGUUCGUUAAUGCAGUUUUUUUAUCGUAUUCAUGACCUUUUAGUCUAUUUUCUAAAUACUGAGAUGUCUGCCCUAUAUAGACAGCUCACAAUCAGUACAAGGUACUUGAUAUAUAAUAUUAAUACUUUUGUUUUUGGGAGUUUUAGAUACAAAUCCUUUAAAUUUUUAAAUUUAUGUUAUGGAGGCCUAAUCGUUGAAGAAGUAAAUAGAUUUUCUGAACAUUAAACUUGGAAGGAAAUUUGAGAUAUUCUCCGCUUAGUUUGAUUUAAAAAUAAGUAUUUUCCUUUUUUGAUACUAUUUUUAUUUCGUUCCAAAAUCCCGGAUACCUUUUUCAAUAACCUUGUAUAAUAACUAAAAACACUUGCCAAUUUCGAAGUCACACAUAAUAUUUUGAUAUUUUAUUAGACAUUCAGUUUGUAUUCUAAAAGUUUUAUCAAAAUCUCAUAAAACACACAGUCCAACGAUAUUCUAAAAUAAUACUGACCCAGAUCAUUUUUAAUUACUGCAAAUAUUGUAAUUAAAUAAAACAUGACAAUGAAAUAUUUGAUGAAAAAUCAAGUCAUUUAUUGUAAAACUAUCUAAUGAAGAUAAUAAAUUUGAAAAUAUAGUGCUAAAACCUCAAAAAACAAAUUAAGAAAUGAAGAAUUCUUCAACCCCAAAACAAUAAAAAAAAAAUGAAAACGACAAUAGAUCUUUGAAACCAAUAAUAAAACAAAACACUGUGGUACAUAGUUAUGCCCAGUGUAUUAUGGAGUGGUGCUAUAAGAAGACGUAUUUCAAGAUUUAUAUGGCACAAAAAAGCUAAAAAAUGAUUUGGUACAAAUGUUUUGACAUAAUACAAUUCCUUGGCGGGAAUUCCAAGGAGUUCUUUACCGCUGGAAUUAAUUUUCGCGGGAGAAGUUUUAUUGGUGGAAAAAUUUAGUAUAAAACAGGUAAGUCAAGUUAAUAGGUUUCAGUUUACCUUCAGUCUCUGAAGACGAUAACUUGGUUAUCGAAACAUGCGUCAGAGAGUGAGUGUUGGUAUGAACAGUGUAAUCAGUAUGAAAAUCACGGUUCCAGCAAUUCUAACUUAGAUGGAAUGAGGUGACAAAGAGAAGAUUCAUUGAAACAUGCAGUAGAAAAGAGAACCAAGCGGUAAGAGAAGACGACGACGAUUAGUUGCCUGCGGUUUCAGCUCGAUAGUUCCCCAGCUGCAAGAUUAUGAAACCAUCUAUGAAGUAUUGAAGUGUUUAAAAGCAUCACUGACUAGCGUGUCGGCAUUUUUAGGCUGACAUACGAGUUUUUUGUAAUCGAUACAUACAUUGUAAUCGAUACGAUACAUUGACCGUUUUUAUAUCUACUGGUUUAGUUUUUCGUUUAUGUGUAUGUUUUGCUAACGAUCAGAAUGACGCUCUGUUCUUGUUUAAAGAGGUCUAAAAAGUGUAUCGUAUUUUUACUAGAGUCAGUCGGUUAUUUGCUUUACUUGUAAACGUUCGAGUUACGAGUUUUAAUUAAAGUAUUCAGUUUUCACGAGUUUAUUAUUUACUUCACCUGAUCCACAAAAAUUCUACAACAGGUUAUGGGCCCAGGUGUGUAGUGGAAGUAAAUAAUUGUUCGGUUUUUUUUCGGUGUAACGGAAAAGUGAAGUGCGGGUGCGACUGAGUAAAAACUAAGUGCAUUCGGCUAUCGUUCGCCGGUCAAGUUUGCCAUAAUGGAAAUUGACAAACCGAAAAUAGAUAAACUGCGUGAUGCUGACAACUGGUCGCAGUGGCGGUUUGUGAUGCAAACGCUAUUGGACAGUGACGACUCGUUAGAAAUUUGUGAAGGGACAGAACAACGGCCAACUGAAGGAUUUACGGACUACCAGAAUAUACUUAAAAAAUGGAUCAAAAGAGAGAAACUUGCCCGUAAGUUGAUUGUCACAACAAUUGAAACAAAACCCUUGCAGUUAAUUAUGAAUUGUACAACGGCUCAUGAAAUGUGGUCAAAACUGCACAGUGUUUACGAUCUUAAAUCCGAAGAGAGCCUUGCGUUGGUACAAAAGCAAUUUUUUGAAUUUAAGUGGAGUCAUGAUGGUGGUAUUGCGCGUCACAUAUCAAGUCUUGAGCAGCUGGCAAACAAGAUGGAUAAGUUGGGUGGUAAGAUACCGGAAUCUAUGUUGAUAACGAGAAUACUCUCCACAUUACCACCUAAAUUCAACUUCUUUCACAGUGCUUGGAAUUCCACAGAACAAAGCAAACGUACUUUAGAAAAUUUGACAACAAGACUACUAACUGAAGAACUAAGAUUUGGCAGUCAAGAAAAUGUUGAAGAUGAGUCUAAAGUAGCGUUAGUUUCAGGAAAGUUUGCUGGAAAGAAAAAUCGUUUCGGGAAGUCAUCUUCAGCUGAUUCUGUGACGCGUUGUUCGUUAUGCCGCAAAAACAACCACACGUUUAAAGACUGUCGGGGUUGUUUUUCGUGUGGCUCCAAAAAACAUCUAUUAAAGGACUGUCCAAAUAAAAGUGAAGGCUCGUCAAGUAAAAAGAGAGAAGCCUUUGUUGGGAAUACUACCGGGAGUGGACAAAAUCAUUGGCUCAUUGAUUCUGGAGCUUCGCAGCAUAUGACAAAUCGACGGACCUGGUUUGUAAAUUUUAAAGAAUUUGCAAAACCAACUAUGGUUUAUGUAGGUAAUGGUGCCGCCGUGGAAGCUUUUGGAAGUGGUGACAUUGAUAUGGAGACAUUUGUGAACGGUGAGUGGUGCCCAGGAACAGAAGCAGUUGCUACCAUAGCUGGAGUUUCAGAUGAAGAUAGUGACCAAGAGGAAUUUGAGAUCCAGAGGUAGAAC
Diorhabda sublineata is the source of this 6081-nucleotide RNA transcript. It is a transcript of the gene named glutamate-gated chloride channel, with no coding region annotated. The record is from RefSeq and is a predicted model, not a curated record. The transcript is spliced from 13 exons. Lineage: Eukaryota; Metazoa; Arthropoda; Insecta; Coleoptera; Chrysomelidae.